Molecule: long non-coding RNA, 1640 nt
Organism: Apteryx owenii (little spotted kiwi)
Lineage: Eukaryota; Metazoa; Chordata; Aves; Apterygiformes; Apterygidae
Source: Ensembl
GCGAGCGCCAAUUAGGAGGGGGGCAGGCGAGAGGAGAGAAAGGAAGCAAACAGAGGCAAAGCGAUUCAGCUCGCAGCAAAUCUGCAGCCUGUUUGCCAGACAGAUGGAACCACGUAGUCGAUGGCUUUGCUGCAGCCGGGCCCCCGAGCAGGAAGGAAGCCAGCUCUCUGCAAAGGAUGGGCUUGGUCCAGCAACGAGCACAUCCCUGUGAAGGUGAGAGAACAUGAGUGCUGGGGAUCCUCUGCCUCUGAGACCACCUUUGUGUGAACAAGAACUGGAGCUUUCCUGCAAACAAAGUAUCCUUCUGCGUCCCUUUGUGGCUGGGCUUUGGUUCUGCGAUACUGAAUCGUCUCCCUGCUCCCCGGCAGUUCUGCCAGCAGCAACCUGCCGGACACAGCAGCCUGACGAAGCAGGGGCGCUGGGAGGAAAGCAGGGAGCGCGCACGCUGCAGACCCGCCAGCAGCCAGCCCGCGAGGAUCCCAGCCUCCCCGCUUUCUCGUGCUGCAACAAUUUCAUACUGAUGGUUUUCAUCUGCUGUGCCUGUAUAUUUCAAAUGCACUCUAAGCAGCAAAGGGAUUACUUUGCAGGACUUUUGGUUGGUGUUGGUACAGUUGAGGCAGGCAAAGUAAAACUUUUCUGAGAGAGGAAAAUCCUUCAGUCCUCCCUCCGCUUGUGAAACCAACGCUUGAACAGAACAAUAUUAAUUCAUUUUUUUUUUCUCCUGCUAUUGAAUAGUAAAAAGCCUGCGAUACCCUGGGAAAACAUAUUCUUAAUGGUUUUCUUAAGGCUGAAUGCCCUACUAGCAGUAGCAAAGACAAAGCAGUAAGAUCUAAGGCCUCUUAGUCUCUAGAAAAUGGCAUAGGUUUUUAUGCUGGAAAAAUGAGGGAUUUAUUUCUUUUUUUGGUCAGAUGAGUUCAGGGUCAAUGUACAAUUUCUCUUUUUGUUUCUAUUCUAAUGACCAUCUAUUUUGGGGUGUUUUAUUCCCCCAAACUCCAUCUGACUGAUAAAAUUCAGCGCAUCUGGCUCUUUGUUAUAGAAAGAGCUUUGCAGUGUGCAUAGCUCUGUACACACAGCUUAUACAAAACCCAGAACCUCGCAAAACCUUUUGUUAAAGAAGAGCAAAGGACAGCAGUAGGUUUUGCCAGAGCGAACCUGCUCUCAUCUUAACCAAAAUUAUAUUUUCUACUUUAUAUUGUUACAAAUCCCCUCCCCCAGUCCCUAUUCCCUUGUGCUCCCCCAUCUUCUCACCCCUGCGUCCUUCUGGGUCCCUUCCCAGGUCACCCUCAGAAAAAAAAAAAAAAAGAAAAAAAAGAAUCCAACCAUCCAACCCUAAAAUGCACAUAAAAAGCCACAAAGAGGCAUCUUUCCUUCACAUGGCCACCAAAACCAGACACACGGGGGACUUACAGGCCAAAUCAUGCUCAUGUUAGGAGGGAGCACCAGGAGAUGGAUAAAGGGCUCAAAUGAUGCAACAGAAAUGUCGCAGCUUUAAAAUCUCUCUCCCCUGAACAUCUCUGAACUCCCCAGGAUAAAUCAGUCCUGGGGUGAUUUAAAGUAGGUGGACCUGCAAAAGGAUUCAGGGUUUUUUAGAGAAAUUAGAAACUGUUGCAAAUAUUUAUGCUUAAUUUAUGCACCAGAAG